Molecule: ribosomal RNA, 533 nt
Filed under: Limosilactobacillus fermentum
Lineage: Bacteria; Bacillati; Bacillota; Bacilli; Lactobacillales; Lactobacillaceae
Description: bacterial SSU rRNA
Rfam family: Bacterial small subunit ribosomal RNA
Source: RNAcentral
AUGAACGCCGGCGGUGUGCCUAAUACAUGCAAGUCGAACGCGUUGGCCCAAUUGAUUGAUGGUGCUUGCACCUGAUUGAUUUUGGUCGCCAACGAGUGGCGGACGGGUGAGUAACACGUAGGUAACCUGCCCAGAAGCGGGGGACAACAUUUGGAAACAGAUGCUAAUACCGCAUAACANCGUUGUUCGCAUGAACAACGCUUAAAAGAUGGCUUCUCGCUAUCACUUCUGGAUGGACCUGCGGUGCAUUAGCUUGUUGGUGGGGUAAUGGCCUACCAAGGCGAUGAUGCAUAGCCGAGUUGAGAGACUGAUCGGCCACAAUGGGACUGAGACACGGCCCAUACUCCUACGGGAGGCAGCAGUAGGGAAUCUUCCACAAUGGGCGCAAGCCUGAUGGAGCAACACCGCGUGAGUGAAGAAGGGUUUCGGCUCGUAAAGCUCUGUUGUUAAAGAAGAACACGUAUGAGAGUAACUGUUCAUACGUUGACGGUAUUUAACCAGAAAGUCACGGCUAACUACGUGCCAGCAGCCGC